This 674-nucleotide long non-coding RNA is filed under the name Homo sapiens (human). Its description in RNAcentral is "HSALNT0125846". Lineage: Eukaryota; Metazoa; Chordata; Mammalia; Primates; Hominidae. The record is from RNAcentral.
CAUUUUUAAAAUGGAUUUACGUUGUUCACAAGAACAGGCUGGAGUGCAAUGGUGUGAUCUUGGCUCACUGCAACCUCCAACUACCAGGUUCAAGCAAUUCUCCUGCCUCAGCCUCCCGAAUAGCUGGGACUACAAGCGCAUGCCACCAUGCCAGGCUCAUUUUUGAAUUUUUAGUAGACACACGGUUUUGCCUUAUUGGCCAGGCUGGUCUCAAACUCCUCACCUCGGGACAUCCACUCGGCUUGGCCUCCCUAAAUGCUGGGAUUACAAGCAUGAGCCACUGCGCCUGACCAGUUUUUAAAUAAAGCACUUUAAAUGAGUUAUUCACAUAUCCCUUGUAUUUAUAUAGGGUACAGCUUUUUGUUUUAAAGCUGUUUGAAUAGUUCUCCAAGUUUCUGAGACUCAACUGCUUUUUUGGCUUAUGAAAUUGCCAUUAAUCAAGAUGCAUUCAUAAGGUAUCAAUUCCCUGAAAUGUAGGUAUUUAGUCCAUUCUAUCUAUCCAUGCAUCUAUCCAUCUGUCCAAUACUUUUUGUUUAAAGUCCCUAGAAUAACCAACCAGCCUUUAUAUGACUGAAUUUGAGAACCUACGGCAAUUAACAUGAUAAAUGUCACACAGAUCCUUAUUGUUUAUUAAGCAACUGAAAAUAGAAAAGCUCAGGGGAAAAUAAUACUUG